Molecule: ribosomal RNA, 253 nt
Filed under: uncultured bacterium
Lineage: Bacteria
Description: partial 16S ribosomal RNA
Rfam family: Bacterial small subunit ribosomal RNA
Source: RNAcentral
UACGUAGGGGCCGAGCGUUGUCCGGAGUUAUUGGGCGUAAAGCGCGCGCAGGCGGCCUCGCGCGCCCGACGUGAAAGCCCCCGGCUUAACCGGGGAGGGUCGUUGGGGACGGCGGGGCUUGAGGGCGGGAGAGGUCGGUGGAAUUCCCGGUGUAGUGGUGAGAUGCGUAGAGAUCGGGAUGAACACCUGUGGCGAAGGCGGCCGACUGGGCCGACCCUGACGCUGAGGCGCGAAGGCGUGGGGAGCGAACGGG